GACGAACGCUGGCGGCGUGCCUAAUACAUGCAAGUAGAACGCUGAAGGAGGAGCUUGCUUCUCUGGAUGAGUUGCGAACGGGUGAGUAACGCGUAGGUAACCUGCCUGGUAGCGGGGGAUAACUAUUGGAAACGAUAGCUAAUACCGCAUAAUAGUAGAUGUUGCAUGACAUUUGCUUAAAAGGUGCAAUUGCAUCACUACCAGAUGGACCUGCGUUGUAUUAGCUAGUUGGUGAGGUAACGGCUCACCAAGGCAACGAUACAUAGCCGACCUGAGAGGGUGAUCGGCCACACUGGGACUGAGACACGGCCCAGACUCCUACGGGAGGCAGCAGUAGGGGAUCUUCGGCAAUAGACGGAAGUCUGACCGAGCAACGCCGCGUGAGUGAAGAAGGUUUUCGGAUCGUAAAGCUCUGUUGUAAGAGAAGAACGAGUGUGAGAGUGGAAAGUUCACACUGUGACGGUAUCUUACCAGAAAGGGACGGCUAACUACGUG
This 495-nucleotide ribosomal RNA is filed under the name uncultured bacterium. RNAcentral's name for it is "partial 16S ribosomal RNA". It matches the Rfam family "Bacterial small subunit ribosomal RNA", at positions 28 to 507 of the family's 1533-position model. The record is from RNAcentral.